This 3601-nucleotide long non-coding RNA is filed under the name Erythranthe guttata (spotted monkey flower). RNAcentral's name for it is "long non-coding RNA (EGUT_LNC003404)". Lineage: Eukaryota; Viridiplantae; Streptophyta; Magnoliopsida; Lamiales; Phrymaceae. The record is from RNAcentral.
ACCGACUUGCUCAUCCCGUUCCACAUCUCCGCCACCUCCUUCUCGCUCUUCAAGUGGUUCACUAUGAUCCCCUUCUCGCACAGAAACCUCGCGUCCGCGUCCGUGUCGAUGAUCCCGUUCAUUAGCUCCGUGUACCGCGUUAGUAUCAACGGGCCCCGCGCACUGCAAGCCUCGUACGCGACUAGGUUCCUCAGGACAACCUCGGAGUUCACGUCUAGUUCGACGACGGGGAAGUAGAAAGUUAGCGUCUUCUCGUCGAAGCUGAUGCCCGUGAUGCCCUCGUCGGUCGGUUGGAAUUGGACGCCGACUCCGGAUAGUUGAGUGACGGACGGGAUCGUGAUCUCCUCCAGCAACGGUGGCUUCUGGAGUGUUCUGUUGCUGGAGGAGCUCGAUUCGCGUUCGUCGUCUUUUUUCUUGCCGUUUUCGUCGUCGUCCUUGUGGAAAACGGCAAACAUCUGUUCGAUCGGCUCUUUCAUCAUCUUGAUGAUUGGGAUUUUUGUGAGGAUUGUCCACGGCAAUUUCACAACGAAUUUGAGCGGUUUCGAGAAGAUGACGCCCUUCACCCAUUUUACGGGACCAUCCGCUAAGGUCGAAAGAAUCCGCCAUAGCUCGUCAAGAAGUUGUCUCAAAUGGCUCGGCUUCGAAAACGAAUUACUCUUCUCCACAUCAUCGAUUUGAUCACGAUCUUCUUCUUCGCCAUCGCCGAUUUCGAUUAUUUCUUCAGACGGCGACGAAUCUUCCUCAAACGGCACGAUGAAAUGGUACAGAAAGUCCAGUAAGUGAGCAUACUCCUUGACUGGAACUUUCCGUGGGCCGCCGCCCCCGUUGCCCUCGGCGGCGGGGGCGGCGGCCCGCGCAGCCGGUCUGAACGGGCUCAUCUCUAUACUGAGCCCAUUCAGUAUGACGAGCAGAGCUUCGUCUGCCGAAUCGAGAGACGAGUACUGCAUCUCCAGCAACGCCCUCAGCACGAACAGCGGGAUCUGAUUCUCGAGCAUGAUUACGUCCCGGAGAAUCGCGCUGUGGGCGGUUUUGUUCGCCGACAGGGCGGUGAGAUGGGCGAGCCGCGACGGAGUUUUCAUUAAGACAUUUUCACAAACACCUUGCCGGACACCGCAGACCUGGAAGAACUCGAACAGGAAAGACACGUCGACGGCCAUGAUCCAAGCCAGAGCUUCGCCGCCGAAGGCCAACGGCCGGUGGUAGGCGGCGCGGAUUCUGAGCUCGAGUUUCAUAAGAUGGUCGACGAAAUCUUGGAACUUGGCCUUCUGGAGAUCGAGUUGGUUUCUUUUGGCGGCGGCGAUUUUGUACCGCUCCAUAUCGUAGACUUCGGGGCGGAGGUGGUGGUAGGGGCCGACGGCGACUUGCUGUGGGAUGUAAGAAUUAGGGUCGGUCGCCAUUAGAGCUUUGGGAACACCGAAGAUUGUGACGGGGGUUUCGGCCUCUUCUUCGAGCUCUUCGUCUAGGGUUUUGCGGAUCUGGUUGAUCCAUUCAUGUUCUGUUCGAACAAGGACAUGUUUUUUUUGUGUGUGUGUGUGUUAGUGUGUGUAUGAAAGUGUGUAAGUAAUUGUUUCCUGGUUUUUUGGGGAGAUUUAAAUAAUAUGGAAGUAAAGUGUGAAAUGUUAUUCUUGUUCACACAAUAAAAUAUCUGAAUUAGUAAUUAAAAACAUGUGUUUCACAUAUGUUAUUAUUUUUUUUAUUUUUAUUUUUUGAUAAUUGACAUAUGUUAUUAUUGAGUGAUUGACAAUGAUGUCAAAGUAUGAUAGUGUUUGCCUCUUUUCUUUGUUAAUGGCGUUGGUCCAUUGUUGUCUUUGGGUCCAAAUGUGAAUCUUAUGUCUAUAAGAUAUUUCCUCUUUAGACGCCCGCUCUUUUUAUGUACGAACAAAUUACGAAAAAACCCAUCUUAUUUGAAUAAUUAUAACCACCUCUCAACUAUGGAUUUUCGUACACGUUCAUCAUUGCGAUGUCAAAUUUAGUGGAAUUUUCUAGAUUGUAUGGUAAUGUUAUCAAUUUUGUACCCGUUUUACCUCAUUCGAGUUCCACAUUUUGAAGCAAGAUGAUCAUAAGAUGUAAUUUUUGGCUUGUAAAUAUUAGAUUGUAGUGCAUCAAAACUGUAUUUUUGCACAAAAUGAGUACAAACUAGAUAACAUUCGCCAGAAACUAGAAGAUUAUGUUGAAUACGACACCAUAAGAGUGCACAUGUAAGAAAAUGUUGUAAUUACCCAAACAUGAGAGGGUUUUCCGUAAUUUGACCAUACCUCAAGAGGUGGUUGUAAUUUAAAUCAUUUCAAAUGAAAAAUGUUAUUUCGAAAUUGAAAAUUAUGCAAUCGGGAUCGAUAGAAUUCGAAAUUUGGGAUCCAAUUUCCACCCCUAGGCGAGCCAUGGCUACUUACAUGGUUUGGAAACCAGAAUUAAUCGAUUGAGUCUUUAAAAUAUUCUUACCUAUUUCAAGACCCUCAAUUAAAAAUCCUCCUUUUCUUUGUGAAAAUGUUUUGUGGCAAUAAUUAUGAUAAACUCCUAAAUAUCUUACUUACUUGCAAAAGGAAAUUAUAUGUUGGUGUAUACACAUUGAAAUUAAAUGUUACACUUAGUUAUAUACGAUUCAAAUUCACUAAGUGUAAAUAACCAGGUAUAGUAUUUAACUCCCUAUAUACACACAUGUGUAUGAUUGUAUAUAAUCAUUGCGUUCGAGAUAUAAAAAUUAAUGAAGCUAAUAAUUAUAUUUUUUUUCCCUUCAAAUAUAUGAUGUAUGAAUGGUCACGAGUUUUGACAAUAAUUCCAAGAUACAAAUAGCUCUUUCAAAUUCAAGAGAGUCGCACAAAAACACUACAAAUCUCGAUCUAGACGGGGGAAAACAUAUUUCAACAAAUUUUGACAUAUCGAUCUUAUUUAAAUAACUGAAAUCGGAUACAAACACACAAAAAUCAUAACUUUAUUACAAAUUAAGGCUAGCUAGCACACAUGAACACCCAAAAAACAGGACACAAAAAAAAAGGGGGAAAAACAUAAAAAAUCAAAUGUCCCGCAAAGAGUGGCCUAGCAGUCGGAGCCAGAUGGUAACACGAAUACAACUUAUAUAUCGCUUAUACUCGUUUCAUUGUUGGGGUUCGAGAGCUUUGAUCGCCAGAAUUCUCCGACAGCUAUAAACUUGGCAAAACGCUUGCAAACUCAUGAGAGCCAACAACAUAAUCGCGGCAAGAAACGUUAGAAUCCUCCAAGAAGCAAACACGUAAUCCUUCAUGAACUUCCCGAACUUCACCUUCCACCUCCCGUUGUAAUACUUGUUCACAUCCCUAAUUACCUUAUCCAACGAGGGCACUUUCGUCAAUCUAACCGACUUGCUCAUCCCGUUCCACAGAUCCGCCACCUCCUUUUCGCUCUUCAAGUGGUUCACAAUGAUCCCUCUCUCGCAGAGAAAUCUCGCGUCCAGGUCCGUGUCGAUGAUCCCGUUCAUUAGCUCCGUGUUACCGCGUCAGUAUCAACGGGCCCCGCACACUGGAAGCCUCGUACGCGACCAGGUUCCUCAGGACAACCUCGGAGUUCACGUCUAGUUUGAUGACGGGGAAGUAGAAAGUAAGCGUCUUCUCGUCGAAGCUGAUGCUUG